Molecule: ribosomal RNA, 223 nt
Filed under: Lactobacillus sp. UMNPBX5
Lineage: Bacteria; Bacillati; Bacillota; Bacilli; Lactobacillales; Lactobacillaceae
Description: partial 16S ribosomal RNA
Rfam family: Bacterial small subunit ribosomal RNA
Source: RNAcentral
UUUAUAUGAGAGUUUGAUCCUGGCUCAGGAUGAACGCCGGCGGUGUGCCUAAUACAUGCAAGUCGAGCGCACUGGCCCAACUGAUAUGACGUGCUUGCACUGAAUUGACGUUGGAUUACCAGUGAGCGGCGGACGGGUGAGUAACACGUGGGCAACCUGCCCUGAAGUGGGGGAUAACAUCUGGAAACAGGUGCUAAUACCGCAUAACAACGAAAACCACAUG